RNAcentral lists this ribosomal RNA (120 nucleotides) under uncultured bacterium. RNAcentral describes it as "partial 16S ribosomal RNA". It matches the Rfam family "Bacterial small subunit ribosomal RNA", at positions 29 to 157 of the family's 1533-position model. The record is from RNAcentral.
AGCGAACGCUGGCGGCAGGCUUAACACAUGCAAGUCGAGCGGGCGUAGCAAUACGUCAGCGGCAGACGGGUGAGUAACGCGUGGGAACGUACCUUUUGGUUCGGGAUAACCCAGGGAAAC